This 506-nucleotide ribosomal RNA is filed under the name uncultured bacterium. RNAcentral describes it as "partial 16S ribosomal RNA". It matches the Rfam family "Bacterial small subunit ribosomal RNA", at positions 29 to 523 of the family's 1533-position model. The record is from RNAcentral.
AGUGAACGCUGGCGGUAGGCCUAACACAUGCAAGUCGAACGGCAGCACAGGAGAGCUUGCUCUCCGGGUGGCGAGUGGCGGACGGGUGAGGAAUACAUCGGAAUCUACUUUUUCGUGGGGGAUAACGUAGGGAAACUUACGCUAAUACCGCAUACGACCUACGGGUGAAAGCAGGGGACCUUCGGGCCUUGCGCGAUUGAAUGAGCCGAUGUCGGAUUAGCUAGUUGGCGGGGUAAAGGCCCACCAAGGCGACGAUCCGUAGCUGGUCUGAAGGGAUGAUCAGCCACACUGGAACUGAGACACGGGCCAGACUCCUACGGGAGGCAGAAGUGGGGAAUAUUGGACAAUGGGCGCAAGCCUGAUCCAGCCAUACCGCGUGGGUGAAGAAGGCCUUCGGGUUGUAAAGCCCUUUUGUUGGGAAAGAAAUCCAGCUGGCUAAUACCCGGUUGGGAUGACGGUACCCAAAGAAUAAGCACCGGCUAACUUCGUGCCAGCCGCCGCAGUAA